CGAGAAGGAUGCAGAGAAAAGGACUGCUUUACAUCUUGCUGCAGAAAAGAACCAGCACCUGAUGGUGAGCGACCUGAUCUCCCUGGGAGCCAAUGUCAACGAGCAGGACAGCUCUGGGAAAACUCCCCUCCACCUGUGUGCAGAGAACGGAUACCUGAGAGUUCUGGAGGUCCUGAAAAGCUGCAAGAACAGCGGGGUGUGUGUGGAAGUGGAUCUGCCUGACCACUGUGG
This is a non-coding RNA of Lonchura striata (white-rumped munia), 231 nucleotides long. NCBI's taxonomy places the organism in Eukaryota, Metazoa, Chordata, Aves, Passeriformes, Estrildidae. The record is from RefSeq and is a predicted model, not a curated record.